This 1371-nucleotide long non-coding RNA is filed under the name Arabidopsis thaliana (thale cress). Its description in RNAcentral is "ncRNA (AT3G22121)". Lineage: Eukaryota; Viridiplantae; Streptophyta; Magnoliopsida; Brassicales; Brassicaceae. The record is from RNAcentral.
AAUCACAUUUUUUCUACUCCAAAACGUACGUAUGUACAUAAAAACAAAUUAGACAGAUACAAACUUGUUCAUAUUAAAAAAAAAGUUAUAUCGUUUAACAGUUUUUUUUUCUUCUUCUUAAAAGUACAACAUAACAAGAAAGCCCAAAGAAAUUGAAAUCUCAAACCCAAAUUACAACGCCUUUUAUUGUAUCAAAUGAAACAUGUAACUAAAGGUCGCACAUAUGCAGAUUAACCUCCCAUUACCAAAUAGAUCAUGAAACUAACAAAUUUCUUGAAGAAACGAAACUUUUGGAGUCGUCCAGAGACUCUCAACGUUCUACAUCGAUUAAGCGGGACAUUUGAAGUCAGAUGGUGGAGUUUUUCCACAGUCGAGAAGAAGCUCAAGAGCAAUGGGGAGAACAAGGUCGAUGUUGAGAAGUUUGAGCUUAAUGGUGGUACAUAGACAAACGGCUGCGUCUAGGUCAAGUAAACCUCCUAAAACCGGACAACAUUCUGCCUUGGCGUGGCUUUUUCCAAGUCCGAUGUGAAUCAAACCUCCAAGAACGUCCACACAAGCGCCUAGCUUCAGCGUGUCAAUUGGGCAAGUCUCUGGAAUAGGCGUAGGAGGAGUUGGUGUUGGUGGUGUUACUACGGGUGGUGUUGGUGUUGGAGGUGUCACGACGGGUGGUGUUGGUGUUGGUGGUGUAAUGACGGGUGGAGUUGGUGUUGGUGGUGUAAUGACGGGUGGAGUUGGCGUUGGCGGUGUUACGACGGGUGGGGUUGGUGUUGGUGGAGUUAUGACGGGUGGGGUUGGUGUUGGCGGUGUUACAACUGGUGGAGUCGGCGUUGGUGUUGGUGGUGGGCAUGGUGUAGGCGGAGGCUUGUGGUGGGGUGGUUUCGGAGUAGACGGAGGAGGCUUGGUCGUGGGAGGUUUAGGUGUGGACGGGGGAGGUUUGGUGGGAGGUUUAGGGGUGGACGGAGGAGGCUUGGUUGGUGGCUUUACGAUGGGAGGUUUUGGGUGGGGGUGAGGUUUGGUGGGUGGUUUAGGGUGGGGUGGUUUGACGGUGGGUGGCUUAGGGUGGGGUUUGACGGUUGGUGGUUUAGGAUGGGGUUUGACGGUUGGUGGUUUAGGAUGGGGUUUCACGGUGGGAGGUUUUGGAGUAGGUGGUUUUACUGCCGGUGGUUUAGGUGGUUUGACGGCAGGAGGUUUAGGCGGUUUGACUGGAUGUUUUGGUGGUUUGUGAGGUGCUGGUGAUGGUUUAGGAGGGGUACAGUCGCAAGCAUAGGAGACGGCAACGAAGCCAAGGAGGAGGAGGACGAGAAAGGAGAGGUUUUGAGAGCGAGACCCCAUUUUUUGGAAUGAGGGUUUGGGUUUCUGAAAGGAGUGAGU